Molecule: ribosomal RNA, 208 nt
Filed under: uncultured bacterium
Lineage: Bacteria
Description: partial 16S ribosomal RNA
Rfam family: Bacterial small subunit ribosomal RNA
Source: RNAcentral
UAUGCAGGCGGUUUUUGUAAGCUUGAUGUGAAAUCCCCGGGCUUAACCUGGGAACUGCAUUGAGAACUACAAGACUAGAGUGUGUCAGAGGGGGGUGGAACUCCGCGUGUAGCAGUGAAAUGCGUAGAGAUGCGGAGGAACACCGAUGGCGAAGGCAGCCCCCUGGGAUAACACUGACGCUCAGAUACGAAAGCGUGGGUAGCAAACA